AUACGGAGGGUGCAAGCGUUAUGCGGAAUCAUUGGGUUUAAAGGGUCCGCAGGCGGAUUAAUAAGUCAGUGGUGAAAUCCUCUCGCUCAACGAGAGAACUGCCAUUGAAACUGUUAGUCUUGAAUUCGGUCGAAGUAGGCGGAAUGUGUCAUGUAGCGGUGAAAUGCAUAGAUAUGACACAGAACACCGAUAGCGAAGGCAGCUUACUAGACCUGGAUUGACGCUCAUGGACGAAAGCGUGGGGAGCGAACAGGAUUAGAAACCCUAGUAGUCC
Molecule: ribosomal RNA, 274 nt
Filed under: uncultured bacterium
Lineage: Bacteria
Description: partial 16S ribosomal RNA
Rfam family: Bacterial small subunit ribosomal RNA
Source: RNAcentral